Molecule: ribosomal RNA, 472 nt
Filed under: uncultured Actinomycetes bacterium
Lineage: Bacteria; Bacillati; Actinomycetota; Actinomycetes
Description: bacterial SSU rRNA
Rfam family: Bacterial small subunit ribosomal RNA
Source: RNAcentral
UGCCAGCAGCCGCGGUAAUACGUAGGGUGCAAGCGUUGUCCGGAAUUAUUGGGCGUAAAGAGCUCGUAGGCGGUUUGUCACGUCUGCUGUGAAAUUUCGAGGCUCAACCUCGAACUUGCAGUGGGUACGGGCAGGCUAGAGUGCGGUAGGGGAGAUGGGAAUUCCUGGUGUAGCGGUGGAAUGCGCAGAUAUCAGGAGGAACACCAAUGGCGAAGGCACAUCUCUGGGCCGUAACUGACGCUGAGGAGCGAAAGCGUGGGGAGCGAACAGGAUUAGAUACCCUGGUAGUCCACGCCGUAAACGGUGGGUGCUAGCUGUGGGCCACAUUCCACGUGGUCCGUGAUGAAGUUAACACAUUAAGCACCCCGCCUGGGGAGUACGGCCGCAAGGCUAAAACUCAAAGGAAUUGACGGGGGCCCGCACAAGCGGCGGAGCAUGCGGAUUAAUUCGAUGCAACGCGCAGAACCUUACC